This 448-nucleotide ribosomal RNA is filed under the name uncultured bacterium. RNAcentral's name for it is "partial 16S ribosomal RNA". It matches the Rfam family "Bacterial small subunit ribosomal RNA", at positions 354 to 796 of the family's 1533-position model. The record is from RNAcentral.
GUCGAGAAUCUUUCACAAUGGGGGCAACCCUGAUGGAGCGACGCCGCGUGGAGGAUAAGGUCUUCGGAUUGUAAACUCCUGUCAUGCGUGAACAAGGUUGCUUGGUUAAUACCUGGGCAAAUUGAUGGUAACGCAAGAGGAAGAGACGGCUAACUCUGUGCCAGCAGCCGCGGUAAUACAGAGGUCUCAAGCGUUGUUCGGAAUCACUGGGCGUAAAGGGUGCGUAGGUGGCGUGGUAAGUCAGAUGUGAAAGCCCGGGGCUCAACCUCGGAACUGCAUCCGAUACUGCCAUGCUAGAGUACUGGAGAGGUGACUAGAAUUCUCGGUGUAGCAGUGAAAUGCGUAGAUAUCGAGAGGAAUACCAAAGGCGUAGGCAGGUCACUGGACAGUUACUGACACUGAGGCACGAAGGCCAGGGGAGCGAACGGGAUUAGAUACCCGGGUGUCC